Molecule: RNA transcript, 1119 nt
Organism: Octodon degus (degu)
Lineage: Eukaryota; Metazoa; Chordata; Mammalia; Rodentia; Octodontidae
Gene name: oocyte-secreted protein 1-like
Exons: 5
Source: RefSeq, a predicted model, not a curated record
CCGCCACAGGUUCUGUAGCCUCGGAGGAUCCCAAGAGUCGCCUUUCCAGCUCCGGGGUGCCUGGGGUGUUCUCGGUCACAGGGGCUCACAAUCCCGGAGAUCUGUGAGCUGAGUUUGACAACACUCACGCGCUUGCGCUGUCUUAAGAUCCUAAAUUGUGAGGUGCCGCGUGAUUUCUCAGGACCAAGCGCUAGGCUUUCGCUUUGGAGAUGGGGUUUUUAGGGUGGACUGCCUCUAAAACUGGGGCCAGACGACAAGCUACUCCUUUUUCUUAGAGAUUUUAUUUCUGCUUUAAUCAUCUAAACGCUCCCGUAGGGAUCCCAUCUUCUAUGCCCUGGGUCGCUACACAUUCUUCACAACGACCUUCUCGGAGAGCUACGCCCACCAGAAGGCAGUGCACACCCGAGAGCACAGGCCCACAGUGCUUGUGGCCUGCACCACCACAACGCUCCUAGCUAGAGUGGAUCGGGUGCCGCUGGUGAGCAACGUGACGCUGGAGGCCCAGGACCUGACUCUGGGCAGCAACUGCUCCGUCUCCACCGUGGAGUCCGGCUACUUUGAAUUUCUUUAUGUUCUGUCUUCCUGUGACAUAAAGAUUUAUGAUCAGGACUUUGGUAUGAUCAUUGAAUCUUCAAUCACAUAUAAUUCGCCGCAUUUCAAUUUUUAUGUCACCAUCCCCAUAUCAUGUUCUGUUCCAAGAAAGUCAUACGUGAAGGCUUCAAUGAAAAGAUCAGGAGCCCCAUGCCGCGUCUUCACAGUGGUGGAGGAGUUCUGGCCUCUGACAGGUGGCAUCCUGUACUCUGGAGUUUCUGUGGCAGUACCAUCGUAAUGAGCAGUUUCCCCUGCUGGGCCGGAGAAAUCGCACUGCUUCCUUUCACGUGGACUGAUUUUCUGAUGAAUUCAGGACCUUGAAGUGCUGAUACCAACCCUGGGCGCUUGAGGGUGUCACUGCUCCUUAGAUUUUGGACAAGUGCUUAUGAGGAGCAUCUUUGACCACUUCAGUGUGACGUUUUACAGUGGAAAUCUUGCUCCUGUCUCCAUAUUUAUGAACUCUUUGGUGGGAAAAGGGCUUCUCUCAACUUUAAAUUUGUGAUGAAAACAAUUUUAAAUAAACUUUUG